This 1459-nucleotide long non-coding RNA is filed under the name Bos indicus x Bos taurus (hybrid cattle). RNAcentral's name for it is "lncRNA (ENSBIXG00005023829.1)". The record is from RNAcentral. Lineage: Eukaryota; Metazoa; Chordata; Mammalia; Artiodactyla; Bovidae.
GUCUUCUUCUCUUCCAUGAGCAUGUUUGAAGGGGACUUUCCUGGUGGUCCGGUGGUUGAGAGUCUGUGCUCCCAAUGCAGGGAGCCCAGGUUCAACCCCUGGUCAGGGAAUUAGAUCCCACAUGCCACAAUUAAGAGUUUGCAUGCUGCAAUGCAGAUUGAAGAUCCCACAUGCCACAACUCAAGACCUGGCACAAUCAAAUAAAUAAAUAGUGUUAAAAAAAUAUUUGAAGAGAGGGGUUAGCUUUCUGACACCAACAGUAAUAUUUUUUUUUAGUUUUUUAAUGAGAGGGGACUAAUCUAGUGACAACAUUAAUCACCUUGUGAGACAUCUGCAGUCAUCAACCAUCAGCUCCUAUUGGAGAGACAAACCCAGAACACGGAGACUGGGUGCCACCAGUGGCCACCGAACCAGGAAGGGAGAGCCUUUCCUUUCCUUCCUGCUCGCCUCAUUUUCUCAGCUUUCUCCUCUUCCCCUUCUUCUCUAGCAACCACUUGAAAUCACCUCUCUCUUGCCCCUCGCUCUUCCCCAUCCUUCUUCUUUCCCUCCAUCUCACGCAUUUGCUAUAUUCUUUCCCUUUACUUCUCUAACUUGCACAUUGGAUUCAUCAGGAAAGUUGUAUAACCAUAGCAAAAAAUAUUUUUAAAUUAAAAACAAAGACUAAGAGUCUAGAGAUUCAGGAUAUGUUGGUCCCAGAAAACAUUUUCAUCAAUGUACCUUGGAUCUACUGUGUGUAUGGCACUAAUAAUCUUGUGGUAUCUGCCCUCCUAGACGAGUAAGCUAACUUCAGCUACGAGGGAAAAAAAUCGCAACUACAAAAUUAAAGACCAAAGGACUGGUCCACUGGUCCUUCAAAUGCAUCUGUGGUGAGUGAGGAUGGCUCAGAACAUAUCCAUCAUUGAAAGGCGCAUCAAGAAAUUUCAGAGGACUAUCCAAGAUGACAAUAACCAGACAUGCUGGUGCAGCAUACAAGUUUUGGAACAAACGUGGAAGGGUCAAUUCAAGCACUAGUUCUCAGAUCCAAAGAUGGAAACAAGGUUUAGGUAAGUAAGCCAAUUCAUUCAUUCACUCCAUGAGCAGUUAUUGGGUAGCUGCUCCCCAGAUGUGCUUCAGUUUGGCUCAAUUAGAAUUAUGUAAUUAUUCUGAAGUAAACAACCAAAUAUAAGCAAGUGCACAAACCAGGAAAACUUUUGGUCAAAUGACAGGCCAGGAUUUAAAAUUCAGAAACCUUGACCCCUCUUUGGGAAAGCUUUUUGGGAUCAGCUUUUAUGGUAGUUACUUAGGGGUUAGUCCUGGAGGCUAGAGGGAAAUUAAAAGCCUCUUGAAGGCUGACCUUUCAAACCAAAGUCUAGCCAUUGCUCAAUUCACAUUCAAGAUAGAGAAACAGAAGAUAGAGAAAAAGUUCACCAGACACACACAGUGAAAUAAAUUCAUGCAGAAUAAUAUUUCGAAGUGGACA